UUCUGUCAUUUGUUUUCAUUAGUGCUUUUUAUCCUUUGUAUCAUCAAAAUAAGCUAAUAUCUAUGUUUUCAAAAUCUUAUUUUGUCCUUUGUAGACAUAUUCUUUAGGAUUUUGAUUUAUUUUGUCUAGAUUCUUUAAAUGGACACUUAUUCUCUAUACAUUAUUCUUAAAGAGUUGUGUAUUUAAGUGUGUGGAUAAGGACUUUAUGCUAUCACCGGCUUAAUCUUCUGGAACAAGUGAUUAUAAUUUUUAGUUUCUGAGUAUGACUAAGAAAGUAUAGGAUAUGCAUAUACUUUUAUCACAGGAAAAAUAAGCUGGUUUUUGACAAUUUUUGUAUGUACUCAUUAAUUCAUUCUUCAUUUUAUGCUAAAUGCGAAUAAGGAAUGUCUCUCCCAAAAGAGUGCUCUUCAUCGAGACUUCUUCAAUGUUAGGAAAGUUGAUACUCAUGUUCAGCUCUCAACAUGCAUGAACCAGAAGCAUUUUAGCUUGGUUGCACAUCAUGAUUUCCAAGCUUGGUUGUACAGAGCUUGCGAUUUUCACGGUGAAAGAAAUGGAUUUGGAUUUGGCGGCUGAUCUGUUAUCACUUCAAAGACUCCUGAUUAUUGUUGUUUUUGGCUACGCAGUAGAGUUGGCUUUGACGGCGAGAAGGUACACUCCUCUAGGAUGGAUUAAUUAAAGGAAAUGAGUAAUUGGAAAGGGUUUAGAUGGGCAAUUUAUUGUUGAAGAUGGAGGCGAAAAUUCAUGGACGCAAGCGGCAUUGAGUGUUUAACAAGGUGUUUGCAGAUGAUGCCUUCUUUGUGAAAAGAAAAGUCUAAUUUGUUCUCUUUAAAUAUUAAGUCAGAGCAUAUAGACGAUGAUAUGCUAGCUAAAUUGAAUGAUCAAUCAUUUGAGGUGGUACUUUUGCUCUCUAUUCAUUGAUUUUUAGGAAUGCUAAAGUUAGUCUUAUACAAAAUAUACAACAAUAUGAUGAAGCACUUUUUUCAUAUA
Long non-coding RNA from Vicia villosa (hairy vetch), 987 nucleotides. RefSeq lists it as uncharacterized. The record is from RefSeq and is a predicted model, not a curated record. Lineage: Eukaryota; Viridiplantae; Streptophyta; Magnoliopsida; Fabales; Fabaceae. The transcript has 3 exons.